UACGAAGGGGGCUAGCGUUGUUCGGAUUUACUGGGCGUAAAGCGCACGUAGGCGGAUUGUUAAGUGAGGGGUGAAAUCCCAGGGCUCAACCCUGGAACUGCCUUUCAUACUGGCAAUCUCGAGUCCGGAAGAGGUGAGUGGAACUCCUAGUGUAGAGGUGGAAUUCGUAGAUAUUAGGAAGAACACCAGUGGCGAAGGCGGCUCACUGGUCCGGUACUGACGCUGAGGUGCGAAAGCCAGGGGAGCGAACGGG
This 253-nucleotide ribosomal RNA is filed under the name uncultured bacterium. Its description in RNAcentral is "partial 16S ribosomal RNA". It matches the Rfam family "Bacterial small subunit ribosomal RNA", at positions 524 to 776 of the family's 1533-position model. The record is from RNAcentral.